Hymenopellis radicata is the source of this 95-nucleotide non-coding RNA. NCBI's taxonomy places the organism in Eukaryota, Fungi, Basidiomycota, Agaricomycetes, Agaricales, Physalacriaceae. The record is from the annotation of a GenBank genome assembly.
UCUCUGAUAGUAUAUCGGUCAGUACACGCGCCUGUCAUCACGAUACGCGAAUCAUCAUUGCGCGCGAAAGCUGGGUUCGACUCCCAGUCAGAGAG